This is a long non-coding RNA of Megalobrama amblycephala (Wuchang bream), 423 nucleotides long. RefSeq lists it as uncharacterized. The transcript has 2 exons. The record is from RefSeq and is a predicted model, not a curated record. Lineage: Eukaryota; Metazoa; Chordata; Actinopteri; Cypriniformes; Xenocyprididae.
AAGAGAUCAGAGAUCAUUCCUUCAUGCAGAAUCUCUCCAGAUCCUUCAGAUUCCAGCUCCAUGUUCAACACAUUCACUAUCUGCACCAUCAUCAUUAUCCAUGGCAAGAUCUGAUCCAGUGUUGGUUCUGUUCUCUGAACUCCUGGUUCCUCUCUGACUGGUGCUGAUGAAGUUUGUUCCCACCGUCUCCAGCUCUCAGAAGCUCCUGGCAUCGAUGGACUGCCGUCAGCUCACUCAGGUUCACUGAUUCACCGAUAUUGUGCUCAAACCAAAGUGAAAAACUCUUUCAUUGUGAAGCUUUCUAAUGCUCUCACUUCUCUUGAAGAAUAUUUACUAGAUUUAAUGAUCAUCUACACUAAAUAAUAAUUCAGUAUUUUCAUUCACAACUGAUGAAAGUCAACAAUAAAGAUCCUGUUUUAUUCA